CAGGACGAACGCUGGCGGCGUGCCUAACACAUGCAAGUCGAGCGGGGACAUACGACGGAUAGGAAGUUUCGGAUGGAAUUGAAGAUGUAUUGUUCUAGCGGCGGACGGGUGAGUAACGCGUGAGCAACCUGUCCCUUACAGGGGGAUAACACAGCGAAAGUUGUACUAAUACCGCAUAAGACCACGGGGAGACAUCUCCAGGGGUCAAAGGAGCAAUCCGGUAAGGGGUGGGCUCGCGUCCGAUUAGAUAGUUGGUGAGGUAACGGCCCACCAAGUCGACGAUCGGUAGCCGACCUGAGAGGGUGAUCGGCCACAUUGGGACUGAGACACGGCCCAAACCCCUACGGGAGGCAGCAGUGGGGAAUAUUGGGCAAUUGGGGGGAAACCCUGACCCAGCAACGCCGCGUGAGGGAAGAAGGUUUUCGGAUCGUAAACCUCUGUCCUUGGUGAAGAGGAAGAGACGGUAGCCAAGGAGGAAGCCCCGGCUAACUACGUGCCAGCCGCCGC
This 507-nucleotide ribosomal RNA is filed under the name uncultured bacterium. Its description in RNAcentral is "bacterial SSU rRNA". It matches the Rfam family "Bacterial small subunit ribosomal RNA", at positions 25 to 518 of the family's 1533-position model. The record is from RNAcentral.